UCAUUCUUGUGUAACAAUCCAUUCAGCUCUUGUUUUCAUUACAUCAGAUCUUGAACUAACUUGGUAACUUUCAGCAGCUGAGAAUUAGGGAAGGACAGUUUUGUUUAAUCUCACUGGAGAAAGGUCAGUCUUUGCCAACAAAACUAUUUCCUCUUCUACUAAUAUAAGACCUAGUUAGGCAAACGGAAUUGAGUAGAACUUGCCAGCUUUAACAAUCAAGCCUUAGUUAAAAAUCAAACAAACAAACAAAACGAAAAAACGGUUAUUUCCUACAAUCAAAGGGCUUUUUCCUACGAGCAAAAUCCAAGCAACAGUUCUCUUGAAGACUGGGGCUACACAGGAGUUCAAGGAUACCGUGAGUAAUACCGACGCUUAUGAGAAAUAAAAGUAACAAGGGGAAUUUCAACUUUAAAAGAGGAACCUUUGGGGCAAAAGCUGCAUAUGUGCAUUUGCAAGAGGGCAGUGUUGAUUUUUUCCAUCCAAGUCUUUCAGCAUGUAGUGGAGAACAGAGGAAAGAAUGAACAUUUAUAUCAUCAAGAUCCGUGCUGGAGUAUUUUGCUGCCUUUGAGACAGGAAGCCUGAAGAAAGAAAUUAGAGAUACAUUCCCUUUGAUUGUGGAGGAAGAAUUUUGCUUGCAGAGGCAGUGGAAUGCUUCAUGAUCUUUGGACCAAAGCCUUCUGGACCGUGCCUGAAAGAACUUGCAUCAGCUGAUUAAGGACAUCCUUUAAAUAAAGAAAGAGAGUUUUCUCACAACACUGCAGUUUACUGACCCACAUCAUGGUUCAGCAACUGCCUCUGAAGCAGCUCAUCUAAGAGCAACAGAAGUCACACUGUGAUCUCCCUCUCCAGGACGCGUGGAAAUCCUGAAGGAUCUUGGAGCCCUCAACACGCAGGCAGUCCUGUAACCACCAUCUGGAAGACAGCAGCCAGGAAAAUCUGUGGGACCUUUGAGACUUUUAUCUUCAGCUCCAAAGCUAACCCAUAAAGAAAGGCAUGGAGAAAGUGUUAUCUGUUGUGGGUUUUUGUGUGUGUGCAUUUUUUUUUUCCCUUGAGUUUUGUUUUUCUCUCUUAUUUUCAUUUCCAGUUUUGGUCUUUGCUCCUAUGAGAAUGUCAUUGCAAAACAUGCCUUGUUAUAGCAGAACAGUCAUUUAUAUUUCCAGUUGCUAAACUGUUUCUAGUUCUCUUCUUCUAAACCUUCACUAGAUCCAAAAGCCAGGCUUAUUGUGUUGGUUAUUUUCCUUUGUUUGACUAGAAGCAAAAAUUCUUAUUCACACGAGAAAAACAUGACUGAUGAGAAAGAGCUCCUGCAGGUUUCUGUGGCAUAGGCACAGGCAAGUUGGCAUAGGCAAUUUUAUUUAGACAAUUAGUUGUGUGGUUCAACUAAGUGGGGCCCAGCCGAGAUAAACGUUCACCCAUAGCAGGGUGGUUUGUGCUGUGGUUCAUGGAGCAGAAGGAGAAUGAUCUCUGCUUAUAGCAAUGGAUCCUGCACAAGCACCCUCUCUUCUGCUAUGACUUUGGUGAUAUCUCACUGAUCACAAAGAAUGUUAUCGGUAUUCUCUGGCGCAUCUCUCUCCUCUUUCCUAAGAAAAGGCUGAAUCUGGAAAAAAUAUGGUUUUGUAUUUUGCAGUACACACACAGAAAGCACAACAGCUGACUGAGGGAAAUUCUGUGUUAAACAGAAAAAUACACUUGCUCCCAGAAAUCUGUGGUAAAAAAGAUCAAAGUGUACAAGCUUAAAAUAAAACAUGGCAAAAAAAAGGGGAAACCAAAAGACAGCAAUCACACUUCUUUUUUCAUGUGAGAGCUGAAGAGUUUUUAC
Molecule: long non-coding RNA, 1819 nt
Organism: Meleagris gallopavo (turkey)
Lineage: Eukaryota; Metazoa; Chordata; Aves; Galliformes; Phasianidae
Source: RefSeq, a predicted model, not a curated record